AAGUCGUAACAAGGUUUCCGUAGGUGAACCUGCGGAAGGAUCAUUAACACGUAUCCAAACGUUAAACCCCCCUGUGAACCUUCAGUCGUACUCGUACGUCCGUUAGAAAAAGCAGCAAUCCCUGGUAAAUCAUCGCCGAACAGUUUUCGAUUCAGGGACGUCUGCAAGGAGCGUGCAUGUUGUGCGUGUAAGUGGCCUGGCAUCCCCAAGCAGUUAGUGUCUGAAAGUGUCACUAACGUUAGUGUGUAAGGAUGACGCAGUCACGAUCGUUGGAGGCCCACACGGCCGACGACCGGGUCACUGGGUGCAAGCCCCUUUAUCACACCCCUGCUCUAUCUAUGGUGAUCCUGCGGGAAGUCCUGCGGUCGAACGCCGAAACCGAACAACUGUUAACAAUGGAUAUCUUGGUUCUC
This 413-nucleotide unclassified non-coding RNA is filed under the name fungal sp. RNAcentral's name for it is "partial internal transcribed spacer region". The stretch from base 1 to 46 matches the Rfam family "Eukaryotic small subunit ribosomal RNA", at positions 1786 to 1831 of the family's 1831-position model. The record is from RNAcentral. Lineage: Eukaryota; Fungi.